CAGGGUGCCGGGGCGCAUUGUAGGCACCCCGCAGGGCGCUACCUGGGGUGCCGAGGAGAGCUGAAGACUUCAUUUUCUAGAAGAGUUCUCUUUGCAACACGCUUCCAGGCACCUUGCUGUGUUGUCCACGGAUGGGAGAAGCAAGGACAUGAAAGGACCCUAGAUUUAUCGACUGCCCGACCCCUUGCUGAGCCUUUCUGCUUUAGUAGAGUUGUCCCAUAGCCCUUGUAGUAGUUCAUUCCAAGCCGAUCGUUAAUCUUAAAGGCAUUGGCAACUUCUUUCAAACGAUAUAAGAGUAGAUGAUGGAACUAACAUCGAAAUCUUCAGGAAUCUUCCUGUUUUAUUUUAAAGAUCGAGCAUUCGGUCCGCAUGCAAUUUAUACUAUUCCAUGGUUGCAUUAAUUAUGCCAGAG
Molecule: long non-coding RNA, 412 nt
Organism: Stegodyphus dumicola
Lineage: Eukaryota; Metazoa; Arthropoda; Arachnida; Araneae; Eresidae
Source: RefSeq, a predicted model, not a curated record